Molecule: ribosomal RNA, 253 nt
Filed under: uncultured bacterium
Lineage: Bacteria
Description: partial 16S ribosomal RNA
Rfam family: Bacterial small subunit ribosomal RNA
Source: RNAcentral
CACGUAGGAGACGAGCGUUAUCCGGAUUUACUGGGUGUAAAGCGCGUGUAGGCGGCGAGGUAAGUUGGAUGUGAAAGCUCCUGGCUUAACUGGGAGAGGUCGUUCAAGACUGCCUGGCUAGAGUGCAGCAGAGGGGAGUGGAAUUCCGAGUGUAGCGGUAAAAUGCAUAGAUAUUCGGAAGAACACCAGUGGCGAAGGCGGCUCUCUGGGCUGCAACUGACGCUUAGAUGCGAAAGCUAGGGGAGAGAACGGG